Branchiostoma belcheri (Belcher's lancelet) is the source of this 72-nucleotide non-coding RNA. NCBI's taxonomy places the organism in Eukaryota, Metazoa, Chordata, Leptocardii, Amphioxiformes, Branchiostomatidae. The record is from the annotation of a RefSeq genome assembly.
UAAAUAGUAGCUUAUAAUAUUCUUUUAAAGCAUUGGACUGUUAAUCCAAAGAUGCAAGUAUUGCCUAUUUAG